UACGAAGGGGGCUAGCGUUGCUCGGAAUCACUGGGCGUAAAGGGCGCGUAGGCGGCGCUCCAAGUUAGGCGUGAAAGCCCCGGGCUCAACCUGGGAAUUGCGCUUAAGACUGGAGUGCUCGAGUGCGGGAGAGGUGAGUGGAAUUCCCAGUGUAGAGGUGAAAUUCGUAGAUAUUGGGAAGAACACCAGUGGCGAAGGCGGCUCACUGGCCCGCAACUGACGCUGAGGCGCGAAAGCGUGGGGAGCAAACAGG
Molecule: ribosomal RNA, 253 nt
Filed under: uncultured bacterium
Lineage: Bacteria
Description: partial 16S ribosomal RNA
Rfam family: Bacterial small subunit ribosomal RNA
Source: RNAcentral